Molecule: ribosomal RNA, 252 nt
Filed under: uncultured bacterium
Lineage: Bacteria
Description: partial 16S ribosomal RNA
Rfam family: Bacterial small subunit ribosomal RNA
Source: RNAcentral
UACGGAGGAUGCGAGCGUUAUCCGGAUUUAUUGGGUUUAAAGGGUGCGUAGGCGGAUUUUUAAGUCAGCGGUAAAAUGUCCGGGCUCAACCCGGGCCGGCCGUUGAAACUGGGGAUCUUGAGUGGGCGAGAAGUAUGCGGAAUGCGUGGUGUAGCGGUGAAAUGCAUAGAUAUCACGCAGAACUCCGAUUGCGAAGGCAGCAUACCGGCGCCCGACUGACGCUGAGGCACGAAAGCGUGGGGAGCAAAUAGG